AUCGUCAACGGUCUGGCGGGAACGAACAGGAACUGAUAGGGACUCACUACAGUUUAUGGAAAGGGUCGUCACAUGGAUUUUGUUGUCUCGUUUUCCGGCAUAAGGGAUCGCUGAGCUCUACUCGCCGCUUGACGAACACCCUUCCCGACGAUAGAUCCUUCAUGACGAGAGGGGAUCGACGGCGGAAUCUUGUGAACGCAUCUUCAACAGCGGCGUCGCAGCGAUAGGAUGUUUGAACGGCAUGCGAUUUAGCACGAUAUACACACUCUCCGUUUAAAUGCGCUGUUGAGUGACGUCGCGGAAAGCAUGGAGAGUAACACGAAGACACGACGAAGGAAAGUGUCGGAGAAGACCGACGAGUGCCAAAGCAAACGUUCCAGGCUUGACGAGGAUAACUAUGAGAAACAAAUCGAAGAGACUGCUGGAAAAGUGAAAAAGAUUCGUCUUUAUAACUUUAUGUGUCAUGAAGCAUUGGAAAUAACGUUGAACAAUAAUGUUAAUUUUAUUGUGGGACGCAAUGGCAGUGGCAAGAGUGCCAUACUGACUGCAUUAACUAUAGGACUCGGUGCAAGAGCAAACGUUACGAGCAGAGGAACGUCAGUUAAAGAAUUUAUAAAGAAGGGCAGGAACUCUGCUAUUGUUGAGAUAACUUUAGUUAAUGAAGGAGACAGUGCAUAUAAGCCUGAUGUUUAUGGUGACACAAUUACAGUUACACGUACUAUUCGUACUAGUGGAACUAGCUCGACAUAUAAAAUAAAAAAUUGGAGAGGAGAAAUUAUUUCUUCCAAACGAGAUGAAUUGGAUAAUAUAAUAACAAUGAUGAAUAUACAGAUUGAUAAUCCAAUAUCUGUUUUGAAUCAGGAUGUUUCGAGAACAUUUUUGGUUACCUCUAAGCCUGAUGAAAAGUAUAAUCUUUUCAUGAAAGCUACUUUUUUGGAUGCCAUUGAAAACAAUUAUAAAGAAGCUCUUAAUAUAUGUGAAGAAGAGUAUAGUAAAUUAAAACACUAUUCCGCGACCUUGUCACAAGUAAAGGGAGAAAUACAAAAAUUAAAGGAAAGUAUACGUAGAUUAGAAGAAAUGGAUGAAUCACGAGAAGAAUUAAACAAUCUCGAAAAAGAACUUCAAUGGGCUGUGGCGAUUGCGGAGGAAACCAGGCUUAACAAACUACAAGAGACUGUAAAGAUGUAUGAAGAUAAUAUGAACAAACUUCAAAAUGUGCAAUUAUCUACAGAAACAAAGGAUGCAGAAAUUGACGAAAAAAUCACAGAAAUAAAGACAAAAAUUCAGCAGGCAGAACAGGAAGCAAUAGAUAGUCAAGAAGCUUAUAAAUGUGCAAAACAAAAAUAUCUUGCUGCAAAUGAAGCAUAUGGUAGUAAACAGCGCGAAUGUCGUUCUGCAACACAUAAAAUAAAACGAUUAAUAGACGAUAUUAAUUUGCUACAGAAGGAAAUUCAAAAAAUAGAAAGUUCCAACGAUGAAGAACACAACAAUACAAAGGAAAUGAAAGAGCGUCUGGCAAAGUUGGAAGAAAGAUUGGAUGAAAUUGAUGCCUCGUUACGCACCAAACAAACUGAAUUAAUGCAUUUAGAAGCCGAUAGAAUGCGACUUAUGCAAGAAGUAAAUUUCGCUAAAAAUGAAAUGGAGAAUUGUAACAGACAUAUAAGUAAGAUCCAAAGCAACUUAAAUGCAGUCGAGCAACAGUCGGAUGAUGCAUUAAGUGUAUUUGGGCCAAACAUUCCGCGUCUAUUGAAGAGAAUCGACGAAGAGUACAGAAGAAAGCGAUUCCAAAAAAAACCACGUGGUCCUAUUGGUGCUUUCAUAAAAAUGAAGGACGCUGCUUGGGCACCAGCGGUGGAACAUUUUCUAGGUAAAAACUUUCUUAACUCGUUCUGCGUGGAUAACAAUCAAGAUGCAAAGUUGUUGAACAGUAUUAUGAAGGAAAUAUUUUAUAAAGGAAACACUCUCCAAAUAAUAUCUAGUAAAUUCUUUGACCAGGUACAUGAUGUUAGACGUCACUGCACACAGUCGCCGGACUAUUCUAAUCUCUUGGAAGCGAUGGUUAUAGAAGAUCCUGUCAUAGCUAAUUGCUUGAUUGAUCAACGCGAAAUUGAAUGUGUUCUUCUUAUACCAACAAAUGAUGAAGCCUGUGUGAUAAUGUCGGACGCGACCAAAGUGCCAAAAAAUUGCAAGAGAGCGUUUAAUUUACACGGUGACACAUACUUUCCUGACCCAAAUUAUAGAACUUAUGGUGGAAACUGUAAUGCGCGCGCUAACUAUCUUCAAGUUUCUACCAUGGAAGCAAUGCAAACGUUGAAGGAAGACCUUCAGGCAGCGGAAAACAAGAAGCAAGAAGCUGUUGCAGCGUACGACGCUGUUUGUGAGAGAGUAAACCGAACUAAUUCUGAAUUGAGUAAUGUAAAUGCGACAGUUCGGAAGUUAAUGUCUUCGCAAAGUGAAUGUACUAAUUUGAUUAAUGAAUUAAAAGAUAAAAUUGGAUCGACCGAAGCCACUUCUGCUGACGUUUUUCGAAACGAAGCUGCAGAAUUGGAAAAGAAAUUAGCGCAGGAAAAAGCCACGGAAAAGCUUUUAGCUGAAAAUUUGAAGGAACUUAAAAAAAAUGUUGAAUCUCUUGACACUGAAGUUAAGCGUUGCAGAGACUUAAGACAUAAUUUAGACACAGUAAUUGAUCCUCUUAAAGAUCAAAUAAAAGAAUUUACAGGAGAAAAAGAAAAACAUCGGAAUGAGUGUCAGCGUGCCACUCGAAAGUUACAGGAAAUUCGCCAAAAUAUGCAGUGCACAAAGGCGGAAUUAGAAAUACAAGAAAGAGCUACGAAGAAAGCAGUUUCCAACGCCACUGAACAAUGUCCAAGGAUAAAUACUACCAGAUCAAAACCUCAAAUCAAAACUUUACUAACCGAUUUACGCGCUAAGAUUCGUGAGAUAGAGAAUCAAUUCGGUUGUGCGGAUGAAUUACGGCUGCAAUUGAAGGAGAAGGAAGCAAAGUAUGGAACAAACAUUGAGCUUACAUCUCGAUUGAAACAAAGUUGUAAAAAACACAUUGAACGAGUGAAACAACGGCAGGAAAUGUUUAUCCAAUUAAGAGAUAUGUACAGUGUUUGUGUGCAAAAGUGUUUUACCGAUGUGCUUUCUUUAAGACAAUAUAAAGGCAAAGUGGUGAUCGAUCACACAAACAAAAUGCUCAACUUACAUGUAAGUGCACGAGACGAAAAGAGGAGCAACGAUACCAGAUCGCUUUCGGGAGGCGAACGAUCUUACUCUACCGUCGCAUUUAUUUUGGCUCUCUGGGAUUGUAUUCAGUUACCUUUUUACUUUCUCGAUGAAUUCGAUGUAUUUAUGGACAAAGUAAACCGACGAGUGAUAAUGGAUAUCCUUUUGGAUCACACUAGAUUGCAUUCUCAGAGCCAAUUCACUUUUCUCACACCUCUAGACACGUCGCAUAUUCUUGCCGAAGAUUACGUUACAAUUCAUCAGUUCCCAUCUCUCCAGCCUUAUUUAGGUGCGCGAUGGAAUUAUAUCCGGAUAAGCUAAUCUGAGGAUUCCAGAGGACUUCUCUCCGGGUUUGAUUCAUUACCAAAACAGGCAGGAUAUCCCGAGUAGCCAGAGGUAGGCGAGACACGGUUGUAUCAAGAUAUCGCACGUCGCGGAGACCACGCCAGACCGGUCUAAACUCGCAAUAACGAUGAUAAUUAGGAAGAAGCAAUAAUUACGAAUAAAAAACGAGUCGGUGAAAAAAGUUAUGAUUAUUCAAACAUUCAGGACACAAAACGUUCCAGGUCUUAUUCUAAAUGAUUGAAAAAUUGUACACACAGCGAGAGAAAGAUGGCGAAGAAAGCGGAAGAUACUUUUCUCCCAUCAGUGAAAAAAUGAAUUAUAUAUUAAAGAUAUAAAUGCUAUUUCUAAGAAA
This 3925-nucleotide unclassified non-coding RNA is filed under the name Monomorium pharaonis (pharaoh ant). Its description in RNAcentral is "structural maintenance of chromosomes protein 6, transcript variant X1". The record is from RNAcentral. Lineage: Eukaryota; Metazoa; Arthropoda; Insecta; Hymenoptera; Formicidae.